RNAcentral lists this ribosomal RNA (197 nucleotides) under uncultured bacterium. RNAcentral describes it as "partial 16S ribosomal RNA". It matches the Rfam family "Bacterial small subunit ribosomal RNA", at positions 328 to 539 of the family's 1533-position model. The record is from RNAcentral.
ACGCUCGACACCUACUGGAGGCAGCAGUGGGGAAUAUUGCACAAUGGGGGAAACCCUGAUGCAGCAACGCCGCGUGAAGGAAGACGGUUUUCGGAUUGUAAACUUCUGUUCUUAGUGAAGAUAGUGACGGUAGCUAAGGAGCAAGCCACGGCUAACUACGUGCCAACAGCGCGGUAAUCUGAGCGGGCUGGCAAGGC